GAUGAAGAACGUAGUGAAAUGCGAUACUUGGUGUGAAUUGCAGAAUCCCGUGAACCAUCGAGUUUUUGAACGCAAGUUGCGCCCGAAGUCGUUAGGCUGAGGGCACGCCUGCCUGGGUGUCACACAUCGUUGCCCCAAUGCCAAUCGCCUCACUUUGUAGGUAUUUGCUUGGGGUGAAUGUUGGCCUCCCGUGAGCUUUGUCUCACGGUUGGUUGAAAAUCGAGCGAACCGGGAAGAGCCCACCAUGAGAAUCGGAGUUUAAGCAUAUCAAUAAGCGGAGGA
RNAcentral lists this unclassified non-coding RNA (282 nucleotides) under soil metagenome. RNAcentral's name for it is "partial contains 5.8S ribosomal RNA and internal transcribed spacer 2". The stretch from base 1 to 122 matches the Rfam family "5.8S ribosomal RNA", at positions 35 to 154 of the family's 154-position model. The record is from RNAcentral.